This 219-nucleotide long non-coding RNA is filed under the name Elaeis guineensis (African oil palm). RNAcentral's name for it is "long non-coding RNA (EGUI_LNC059032)". Lineage: Eukaryota; Viridiplantae; Streptophyta; Magnoliopsida; Arecales; Arecaceae. The record is from RNAcentral.
UUCUCUUCUCUUUAUUUGAUUUAUUUGCUAUGCUAUUGCUAUGCUAUGCAUCUAUAGGUAGAGAUCCUCUCUAUUUAUACAUGAUUCUCAUGAUCUAAUGAGAUUAGGACUCCUAAUUCAAAUCUGAUUUGAAUUGGUCUAAUACUCAUGAAAGAAAAAUUCCUAUAUGAGAUAUAAGUCAUCACAUAUGACAAUCAACUUGCACCCAAUCUCUCACCC